AGAGUUUGAUCCUGGCUCAGAUUGAACGCUGGCGGCAUGCCUUACACAUGCAAGUCGAACGGCAGCACGGGAGCAAUCCUGGUGGCGAGUGGCGAACGGGGGUGAGUAAUAUAUCGGAACGUGCCCAGUCGUGGGGGAUAACGCAGCGAAAGCUGUGCUAAUACCGCAUACGAUCUCUGGAUGAAAGCGGGGGACUCGCAAGGGCCUCGCGCGAUUGGAGCGGCCGAUAUCAGAUUAGCUAGUUGGUGGGGUAAAAGCCCACCAAGGCGACGAUCUGUAGCUGGUCUGAGAGGACGACCAGCCACACUGGAACUGAGACACGGUCCAGACUCCUACGGGAGGCAGCAGUGGGGAAUUUUGGACAAUGGGCGCAAGCCUGAUCCAGCAAUGCCGCGUGCAGGAUGAAGGCCUUCGGGUUGUAAAGCUCUGUCAGUGGGGAAGAACCGCCUCUCUCUAAUAAAGGGGGAUAAUGACGGUACCGGAAGAAGAAGCACCGGCUAACUACGUGCCAGCAGCCGCGGUAAUACGUAGGGUGCGAGCGUUAAUCGGAAUUACUGGGCGUAAAGCGUGCGCAGGCGGCUUUAUAAGCCAGAUGUGAAAUCCCCGGGCUCAACCUGGGAACUGCAUUUGGAACUGUAAGACUAGAGUGUAGCAGAGGGGGGUAGAAUUCCACGUGUAGCAGUGAAAUGCGUAGAUAUGUGGAGGAAUACCAAUGGCGAAGGCAGCCCCCUGGGUUAACACUGACGCUCAUGCACGAAAGCGUGGGGAGCAAACAGGAUUAGAUACCCUGGUAGUCCACGCCCUAAACGAUGUCAACUAGGUGUUGGGGAAGGAGACUUCUUUAGUACCGCAGCUAACGCGAGAAGUUCGCCGCCUGGGGAGUACGGUCGCAAGAUUAAAACUCAAAGGAAUUGACGGGGACCCGCACAAGCGGUGGAUUAUGUGGAUUAAUUCGAUGCAACGCGAAAAACCUUACCUACCCUUGACAUGUCAGGAAGAUCGCAGAGAUGUGAUUGUGCCCGAAAGGGAAUCUGAACACAGGUGGUGCAUGGCUGUCGUCAGCUCGUGUCGUGAGAUGUUGGGUUAAGUCCCGCAACGAGCGCAACCCUUGUCUAGUUGCCAGCGGGUUAAGCCGGGCACUCUAAUGAGACUGCCGGUGACAAGCCGGAGGAAGGUGGGGAUGACGUCAAGUCCUCAUGGCCCUUAUAGGUGGGGCUACACACGUCAUACAAUGGCUGGUACAAAGGGUUGCCAACCCGCGAGGGGGAGCUAAUCCCACAAAGCCAGUCGUAGUCCGGAUCGUAGUCUGCAACUCGACUACGUGAAGUCGGAAUCGCUAGUAAUCGUGGAUCAGAAUGUCACGGUGAAUACGUUCCCGGGUCUUGUACACACCGCCCGUCACACCAUGGGAGCGGGUUCUGCCAGAAGUAGUUAGCCUAACCGCAAGGAGGGCGAUUACCACGGCAGGGUUCGUGACUGGGGUGAAGUCGUAACAAGGUAACC
RNAcentral lists this ribosomal RNA (1503 nucleotides) under uncultured bacterium. RNAcentral describes it as "16S ribosomal RNA". It matches the Rfam family "Bacterial small subunit ribosomal RNA". The record is from RNAcentral.